This is a long non-coding RNA of Scylla paramamosain (green mud crab), 956 nucleotides long. RefSeq lists it as uncharacterized. The transcript has 5 exons. NCBI's taxonomy places the organism in Eukaryota, Metazoa, Arthropoda, Malacostraca, Decapoda, Portunidae. The record is from RefSeq and is a predicted model, not a curated record.
ACUUUUCUCAGAAGACUUCUGGACUCUGCCAGGACUGAGGGCAAAAACUCCCAAACUCUCUCUGGAACUCCAUCUCUGCAGUUCAGCCUGAUAAAAGGAAGCAGGCUUAGAUACUACUGGGUCAGAUGUCUCUGGCGGUCAUCCCGGGGCGAAAGGAUGGGGCUGGUGAUGUUCUGGUUGAUGGGUCGCAGCACAUCAUUGGGAGAGCCUCCGCUGGAUACUGGGCUCAGCAGCUUCUCAUACAUAGACCUCAGCAGGCCUGAGGACUCCCCAAGCUCAAUGGACAGCUCAGAGAGGGGCACACCCAUGGAACGGAACCUUGGGGAUCGUGAGGGACUCAUCAGUAGCCGUCGACUCUGGUUACGGUAGCUGCUGUAGUUUUGAGGACGUGGCCACCUGGUAGCAGGCAGAGCAGUUGUCAAGUGAUGGCACCGCUGUGAUGGUGACACAGCACCGGCGUGUCUGGGAGCUGGUGCCAUCACUGCCUUCAAUCAUACUGUGGGAGAGACAAGAUCACUAAGGGGACAGGAAAGAUCAUCAUUGUGGAUAAAGUUACGAUACAAUGCCCUGAUAAAUGUGCAGUAUUAAGUCCAUUUGAGUGUGUGGUCAUCUGUGUCGCUGGAAUGGGUGUAAGAGAGCACAAAUUGACCACACUUGGUGAAGCCCAGGAACACAUGUCUGGAGGGGAGAGAGGAGGUUAGGUCACUUGGCAACAGAGGUAUGAUCAACUUUAAGCCUGUCUUUGGUAGGGAUGGCAGUUGCAGCAGACUGACCCAGCAGCCAAGGCAGAGGCAGGAGCCACCUCAGCCAGGGAGAAGGCCAAGCGGUGAGGCAGCUGGUAAAACAACUUUUGGCGAGGCCGGGAACGUGUCUGCCUUGUCUCACCAUACAGCUGCAAGCAUGAGAUGAGGCUCAGAAUCAGUUUUUGUAUUUCCUGUAAUAACUGAAUGCUUAGA